RNAcentral lists this microRNA precursor (95 nucleotides) under Phaseolus vulgaris (common bean). RNAcentral describes it as "pre miRNA MIR403". The record is from RNAcentral. Lineage: Eukaryota; Viridiplantae; Streptophyta; Magnoliopsida; Fabales; Fabaceae.
GCAAAUUGCAGGUUUGUGCGUGAAUCUGACGAAAUUUCUCUAUUAUCUGCGUUCUACUUCUGCGUUAGAUUCACGCACAAACUUGUCAUUUUCCU